Capsicum annuum is the source of this 4316-nucleotide long non-coding RNA. RefSeq lists it as uncharacterized. The transcript is spliced from 2 exons. NCBI's taxonomy places the organism in Eukaryota, Viridiplantae, Streptophyta, Magnoliopsida, Solanales, Solanaceae. The record is from RefSeq and is a predicted model, not a curated record.
AGUCUAAUUGGGGUUAGUUUUUAAAAAAUCCUAAAACCUAAUCUAUCCAAUUAAAACCCCAUCAGCAGCCCACCAUAACUAAUGGCUCAACUCUUAGUCUAAGCCCAAUUGACCUGACCUGCCAGCCCAUUUCUUUCUUCUUUACCUAUCAACAAUUCAGUACAUAUUAACAGCGACCAUAAGCACAAAAAUGGAAAAACCCAACAAAACAGCAACAUCGGUCAACAACAAACACCAUCAAUAUCGUUGACCCAACUCCGAUCAAACCCCCGACCCGACGAAAAACUCAACCCAACAUCAAUUCGAACAACAACUAGCAAACCCCAAUACCUCAAACCUGACCCAGCUCCAACCCGCGAUUCCAGUGAUGAGGAAUCAUACGACCUCAACAACUCUGCAUCCAACUAUUUCAAAAUUGUACGAUUUUCAAACAAUUUUACAGCACAUCCCCUUAUCCCUAUUCAAAGUUUGAAUUUUCCCCUUUGAAAUCCCAGAAUUAACCCCAAAAAUUAUCUCUCCAACAUUGGUUGGAGCAUAAAUGUGAAUCCAAAUUCCCUUCUAUAAAAAGGGAUUCUUGAUAAAAAAAACAUGGAAGUCGGAGAAGGUUGAAAGUUUUUUUGAGAAAAAAGUCUAUUUUUCCAGUAAAAACAACUUUUUCGUGAUAAGUUCUCAUUUACGCAAAGUUUUCUCUGAGUUGUAGAGCCUUUUCCGGUGGUGGUAGAAGUUCCAUCGAAGAAUUAAUCCCCAUUUUGAUGCUUCUAAAUAGGUAACCUUUCACCCUUUUAGUUUUGACAUUCUUUUCUUAUUUUUUUGAUAUCUUAUUAGUAGUUAUAAUGAUAUGCUGGGAUUGACUGUUGUAGAUGACUUUUAUGGUCGUUUGAUACCUGGUGUGCUGGAAUUGAAUAUUCUAGAUGGCUUUGAUAGUCAUAGGUUUUGUUAGUGAUGGUUGUUAUUCUAAUUGAUGUGCUCGCUGCCAUUGUUCUGCGCCAUUAUGAAGUGGUUUUCAUUGCCAAGUUUUGAAAUCUAUACUCAUAUAUCAUUCCUGCUUUUGGCUUGUUGUCUGUAAUGCUUCAUAUAUUGGUGGUUAGUAAUUGGAAAAUCUCCUUGAUGUGAAUUAUUUAUAAUAUAUAGAAUCUCCCUGAAGCAUUUGCUCCAUGUUACAAGCUUCAAUUUGUUAGAAUAUGUAUGGUAAUUUGGAUAGAUGUUUUACUUGUCAAGAAAACUGUGCUCUAGGUCUAUUGUUUAUUUUAUUCAGGGAGAGUUAGUUGUUAUAAAAACUUUAAGAUGGAAAAGGCUAUGGUGUAUGUGAAGAUAGUUUGUUGCUUCAGUUUUGGAACCUAUUUCAUAUAAGGGCUGGACUUAAAUACGAAGUCACCUCUAUUUCAUAAUGGUUUUUUUAGUUGAUGUUCUAUUUUCUUUUACAUAUAUAUGAUGCUCAUUUGUUUAGCCCUUUUUGUUUUAUGGUUCCGGCCUAAAAGCCUUUUAGAAUCCUUCAUUUUGCUCUUGGUAGUUGCUUAGAUUGUUUUGUUCUCUCCAAGUGUGUUAGAGCCUCCUCUGAAUUUUCUUUACUCACAAUGUAGAUGAGAAUGGUGGAGUGGGUUUAUAGAAUGGGGAUAUUUCAUUCAAAGAUCCCUCUAUGACUUUCUUGGUGUGUGAGGUUCUAUUGGACCAACUCAAGAGAGGAACAGAAUGAAAUAAGUCUCUAUGCCAAAGCUACACCUUAAAAAGUAUCACGCAACCCUUUAGCCCUGGAUUAAAUUCAUUGCUAAUUUCCUCCUAUGUGUUAAAUUUGAAUAGUCUUCGAAAUUAUUAUUAUUUUUCAAAAGGAAUGUUAUAUUGAUAUUAAGUGAUCUUUAAGCUCUUUUAUUGAAUUUUGGAAGUGAAUCUCUUUAACUUUUUAAAGGAAGGAUGAAAAGGUCUUGUGAAUAAGGAGCUUCGCUGAGUCUUUGAUUGUUCCAUCAUUGGGUUGAAUUGUUUGGGCAUUUCAUAAUUCUAUGUAUGUCUGACUUCACCUCAAAACUAUUUUUUUUACAAUAUGAUGUAUUUUGUUUCCUUGAUAUCUUGGUCAUCUUUUUAAGUUUAUAUAUGUGUUUUUUAAGCUUUUCCUCAGUUGUACCGAGAAAGGGUUGAUGAAACUUUGAGGGAAAGGUAAUGUAUCUUAUUUUUCUUGUUAUUGUCCUAAAUGUUUGAUUAUAAUUUAAUACACUUAAAUCAUCGUUACUUCUACUUAUUCGGGUCUAUAAAAUUGAUUUCAAACUUCUUCCUGUUUAUUCGUUGAAGUCAAUUUACUUUUUUCUUUUUUGCCCAUUUCCAUUUUUGUUCUCUAGCUGUAGAAUACAAAAAAUUGGUUCUUUCUCUUUUGAAGUCAAAUGCUUAUUUUCCUUUACACUUGUGCAUUUUAUAUAUGUUUUGGGUGCGCACUAAUCUCCCUUCAUCUUUUUUUUUUUUGCAUGAACCUGCGUUGGAGUCCAAAUGGACUUUUUCCUCCUUGCAUUUUGUAACGGGCCAUUGAGGCCCAUCCUUUUGAAGAUUUCAAAAGAUGGUUCGAAAGGGGGCACUACCUGUCGUAUGAGUAAAGAUGGUAGAAGGCAAGACAUGUUCAAGCUCGUUGAUAAGAUUGCCAGAAGACCGAAAAGUUUCAAUCUUAUUCUUGCUUUAUUUAUGUAUUUAUAUGGGCCUCAAAGCCAAAGUUCUUUUUAAUACAAGUGAAGCAAAUUCGAGCCAAAGGUUUGAAAACAUAGAUUAGGACUAGUGAAAAAUGGGUUGAAAGCCCAAUUAGAUUAGGACAGGGUUCAUUGAUUUGGGCCGAAUGACCUAAGUCUUUUACUUUCUCCCCUAUCCCCUUUUUAGUGUUUAUUAGCUUUUCAUUUGUUUAUACUUGGUUAAAUAUCCUAUAAAGUCAUCAAAUUUAUUAUACAAAUCUUUUCCUAAAAUCACUUUCUUUUAAAAAUAAAAUCAACUUUUCUUUUUCAAAGUUAGACAAAAAUAUUUUCAAACAGUCCGGAUAACCGCAAGUUAGCGAAUGUUUUAGGUGCCAAAAAUCAUCUGAUAAUGCUAAUAGGAUUCUCUUACUUAGAUCUUUAAAUUUUAAACUAUUUUUUGUUUUGGAUCGUUUAAAGUAUCUUAUAAAGGUUUCUUAUUCCUUUUCAAAAUUAAGUGGCGACUCUUUGAAAGUCAAAAUUAUUGGCAAAACAAACACGAUCAAUAAUAGUUCAGUUAAACCUACUAAAGUUUAGAAAUCAUUUCAAUGUAUAAUCAGUUGGGAGUAGGAUUUAGCACCGAGCGAACCCAAAGAUGGGACUCACCUGCAACUAGAGGGUGAAAUCCUUAGAAGAAUUCCUUGCAUUCCAGAACUACGUAGCUAGUGUAGAUUGAGACAUCAACUUGCCUGUUGAGGGUUGAUGAGGUGUCUUACCUACUUGUUGAGGGUACCACCAUUCUCAUUCAGAGCACUUUCUAGGUGAGCAACUUGUCUUUUACCUGUGGCACGGUACUUGACACCCAUCCAACUAGGGUUACAGGUUGGAUCCCAAUUAGUUCAGAGAGGGGUAUGUUGGUUAGAUAAUUACCUCUCACAGUUUCAGAGUCAGGUUCAGUACAAAACUUAGUCCAGUUCUAAAGGAUCAGGAUUGUCAGACACAGUCACCCAAUUAUAAAAAUUCCAGUUAUCAGUAACCUCAGAUAUCAGAAACUCAGUUAUUAAAGCUUAGCACUAAGCUUCAGUGUAAUCUUAGAAAUAGUAUAGUUGUAUGCAGGUAACAUCGCAUACUCAGUAGCUAUAGCAUGUUAGUUAGUCAUGUACUCUUACUCAAUUAUAUUUUUAUCACUCAAUCAGUUAUUGUUCAUGCAUAUGAACCCAAGUAUACAACCUUACCUCACUUAGCAUACAAGUAUAUUCAAAGUACUGACGCAUGCUUUUUUUGUGUUGUGAUGUCUCAUAUGAUAGGUUCAGACGUAAGGGCUCCUGACCAUACUUAGCAGUUCAGACUAUCAGCAGCAGAUACAGUGGUUCAGACGUACGGGCUCCUGACCAUACUUAGCAGUUUAGACUAUCAGCAGCAGAUACAGUUGUAAAUCCUCAUAGUUUAAGGACAAAGUUUAAUUAUUUCAUUAGUUUAGUAUGUUUAGUAGCCGGAUUUAGUUGGGGACUUGUCCCAUCAACUCCAUAUUUAGACAAUUAGAGGCUUUUAGAAUAGAUUUACUUAGAUAAUAUUCAGUUUUGUUUUCCAUAUUUCAGUAUUCAUAUUAGUAUUUUGAGAAUCUUAUCACAUUUCAGUUGUACUUUUUCCCUAUUUCAAUAUUAUUAUUUAGUGCUC